RNAcentral lists this transfer RNA (76 nucleotides) under Conexibacter sp. W3-3-2. RNAcentral's name for it is "tRNA-Glu". It matches the Rfam family "tRNA". From Rfam's summary of the family: Transfer RNA (tRNA) molecules are approximately 80 nucleotides in length. Their secondary structure includes four short double-helical elements and three loops (D, anti-codon, and T loops). Further hydrogen bonds mediate the characteristic L-shaped molecular structure. tRNAs have two regions of fundamental functional importance: the anti-codon, which is responsible for specific mRNA codon recognition, and the 3' end, to which the tRNAs corresponding amino acid is attached (by aminoacyl-tRNA synthetases). tRNAs cope with the degeneracy of the genetic code in two manners: having more than one tRNA (with a specific anti-codon) for a particular amino acid; and 'wobble' base-pairing, i.e. permitting non-standard base-pairing at the 3rd anti-codon position. Lineage: Bacteria; Bacillati; Actinomycetota; Thermoleophilia; Solirubrobacterales; Conexibacteraceae. The record is from RNAcentral.
GCCCCCGUAGGCUAGCGGUCCAAGCCGCCUCCCUUUCAAGGAGGAGAUCUCGCGGGUUCGAAUCCCGUCGGGGGUA